GCACAGUUCACUCCAGCUGUUCCUCUCAGCUGCUCAUUACGGGGCUACUGUGUCAUCCCUGAGCUGCUUGUCCACAGAGAUGUCACUAAAUUGAUCUAGCUGGCAGUGAUAAUCUGUGGGAGCGCAUGUGUCCUUAUCGGUUUGUGGGUCCAUUUAAGUCUAAGAGCAGCAUUAGGUUCAGCUGGUGUGCCACCGGGGGCGAGUCACUGGUCUAUAUUUACCAACUUAAGAAUGAAAGAGCAUUGUGUCGUCUGCAUACUUGGCACCAAAAGACACUUUGUGUGCAGGGUCACCUUGUUGCUUCAUCGAGAGACACAAAGGACAGAAGGAAGUGGACUUGAAAAGACGGAGAGGUAGUUCACAGAGCUAGGCCAAUCAGACUGAACAACAUCUUCAGGGUGAGACACAGACAUAAAAGGAAGUGGGGUAUAUCCGUCCUACAUUUCUGAAACCCAUAGGACUUCACCCGUUUGUUUUUGUGAAGAGUGCCAGUUGGGGUAGGUUACUAUGGAAACCAAGAUGGUGAUGCACAGAGAGCAGGAGGAGCAGUCGUCCCAAAUGCGUCAAAGCAUGCAGCUGUCCUCGCAGAAAAAGAAGAGGACGUUCGCUUCCAGUGAUGAUGACAACGCCUCCUACUCCGAUUUCCAUCCCAUCAUACCAGCAGAUCUGAUGUCUGUUAAAGAGAUCCUCAACAUAAGCAACUUCCCUCGCCAUAGGACUUGGUAAGGCACAACACAACUGUGACAAAUACUUUUGUCAGCCGGAAGGAAGCUGCACAUGCAACCUGCAAACACACGUUAGCUUAUUUUUUAUUAUAUUAACACUUCUAAAGGGUUGUGCUAUAU
RNAcentral lists this long non-coding RNA (845 nucleotides) under Oryzias sinensis (Chinese medaka). Its description in RNAcentral is "lncRNA (ENSOSIG00000021560.1)". The record is from RNAcentral. Lineage: Eukaryota; Metazoa; Chordata; Actinopteri; Beloniformes; Adrianichthyidae.